Heterocephalus glaber (naked mole-rat) is the source of this 301-nucleotide long non-coding RNA. RefSeq lists it as uncharacterized. The record is from RefSeq and is a predicted model, not a curated record. NCBI's taxonomy places the organism in Eukaryota, Metazoa, Chordata, Mammalia, Rodentia, Bathyergidae.
UCACCCUGUGCAUCGAGGGCAUCUGUUUAUCAUGGGUGUCAGUGUCUUCAGAGAAAGAAAUCUUUCAGUGGCUGGGGAACCUGAGGAAGGGGAGGAUCCCCAGGCAUGAGUGUGACCAGAAAACCUGGCAGCAUCCCAUUACCUUCAUGCUUUCAGCCUUGCCAACAGCUUUCCCUAUCCUGGCCCCUGCCCAGUCUCUGACCUGCAUACAACAAGUGCCCCACGCAUGUGUACUCAGCUAUAAACCAAGGAAGCUUGCCCACCCACCUCGCCUACUUCCCGGGCUGCUGCUAAAAUAAAA